RNAcentral lists this ribosomal RNA (364 nucleotides) under uncultured eukaryote. RNAcentral's name for it is "partial 18S ribosomal RNA". It matches the Rfam family "Eukaryotic small subunit ribosomal RNA", at positions 592 to 976 of the family's 1831-position model. The record is from RNAcentral.
CAAAAGCGUAUAUUAAAGUUGUUGCAGUUAAAAAGCUCGUAGUUGAACCUUGGGCUUGGCUGGCCGGUCCAUCUUUUUUGAUGCGUACUGGACCCAGCCGAGCCUUUCCUUCUGGCUAGCCUUUUGGCGAACCAGGACUUUUACUUUGAAAAAAUUAGAGUGUUCAAAGCAGGCCUUUGCUCGAAUAUAUUAGCAUGGAAUAAUAGAAUAGGACGUUAUGGUUCAAUUUUGUUGGUUUCUAGGACCAUCGUAAUGAUUAAUAGGGACGGUCGGGGGUAUCAGUAUUCAGUUGUCAGAGGUGAAAUUCUUGGAUUUACUGAAGACUAACUACUGCGAAAGCAUUUACCAAGGACGUUUUCAUUAA